GUAGUCCACGCCAUAAACGAUGUGUGCUAGCUGCUGGGACUCUUAGAGUUUCGGUGGCGCAGCUAACGCCUUAAGCACACCGCCUGGGGAGUACGGUCGCAAGAUUAAAACUCAAAGGAAUUGACGGGGACCCGCACAAGCGGUGGAGCAUGUUCUUUAAUUCGAAGCAACGCGAAGAACCUUACCCACUUUUGCCAUCCCGGUAGCGGCUUUCAGAGAUGAGAGCUUCAUUUAGUUGGACCGGUGACAGGUGCUGCAUGGCUGUCGUCAGCUCGUGUCGUGAGAUGUUGGGUUAAGUCCCGCAACGAGCGCAACCCUUGUCGUAUGUUGCCAUCAGGUAAUGCUGGGCACUCAUACGAGACCGCCGGUGAUAAGCCGGA
Molecule: ribosomal RNA, 380 nt
Filed under: uncultured bacterium
Lineage: Bacteria
Description: bacterial SSU rRNA
Rfam family: Bacterial small subunit ribosomal RNA
Source: RNAcentral